CUUGACAUACCGAUGACAGGUCUAGAGAUAGAUUUUCCCUUUUUAGGGCAUCGGAUACAGGUGGUGCAUGGUUGUCGUCAGCUCGUGUCGUGAGAUGUUGGGUUAAGUCCCGCAACGAGCGCAACCCCUAUUGUUAGUUGCCAUCAUUAAGUUGGGCACUCUAGCGAGACUGCCAGUAAUAAACUGGAGGAAGGUGGGGAUGACGUCAAAUCAUCAUGCCCCUUAUGACCUGGGCUACACACGUGCUACAAUGGGAAGUACAACGAGUUGCGAGGCGGUGACGCCAAGCUAAUCUCUUAAAGCUUCUCUCAGUUCGGAUUGUAGGCUGCAACUCGCCUACAUGAAGUCGGAAUCGCUAGUAAUCGCGGAUCAGCACGCCGCGGUGAAUACGUUCCCGGGCCUUGUACACACCGCCCGUCACACCACGAGAGUUUGUAACACCCGAAGUCGGUGAGGUAACCGUAAGGAGCCAACCGCCUAAGGUGGGAUAGAUGAUUGGGGUGAAGUCGUAACAAGGUAGGCGUAGAUGA
RNAcentral lists this ribosomal RNA (530 nucleotides) under uncultured bacterium. RNAcentral's name for it is "bacterial SSU rRNA". It matches the Rfam family "Bacterial small subunit ribosomal RNA", at positions 980 to 1509 of the family's 1533-position model. The record is from RNAcentral.